RNAcentral lists this ribosomal RNA (585 nucleotides) under uncultured bacterium. Its description in RNAcentral is "partial 16S ribosomal RNA". It matches the Rfam family "Bacterial small subunit ribosomal RNA", at positions 355 to 937 of the family's 1533-position model. The record is from RNAcentral.
UGGGGAAUUUUGGACAAUGGGCGAAAGCCUGAUCCAGCAAUGCCGCGUGUGUGAAGAAGGCCUUCGGGUUGUAAAGCACUUUUGUCCGGAAAGAAAUCCUUGGCUCUAAUACAGUCGGGGGAUGACGGUACCGGAAGAAUAAGCACCGGCUAACUACGUGCCAGCAGCCGCGGUAAUACGUAGGGUGCAAGCGUUAAUCGGAAUUACCGGGCGUAAAGCGUGCGCAGGCGGUUUGCUAAGACCGAUGUGAAAUCCCCGGGCUCAACCUGGGAACUGCAUUGGUGACUGGCAGGCUAGAGUAUGGCAGAGGGGGGUAGAAUUCCACGUGUAGCAGUGAAAUGCGUAGAGAUGUGGAGGAAUACCGAUGGCGAAGGCAGCCCCCUGGGCCAAUACUGACGCUCAUGCACGAAAGCGUGGGGAGCAAAACAGGAUUAGAUACCCUGGUAGUCCACGCCCUAAACGAUGUCAACUAGUUGUUGGGGAUUCAUUUCCUUAGUAACGUAGCUAACGCGUGAAGUUGACCGCCUGGGGAGUACGGUCGCAAGAUUAAAACUCAAAGGAAUUAACGGGGUCAUAGCUGUUUCC